AUACGUAGGUGGCAAGCGUUAUCCGGAUUUACUGGGUGUAAAGGGCGCGUAGGCGGGGAUGCAAGUCAGAUGUGAAAUCUAUGGGCUCAACUCAUAAACUGCAUUUGAAACUGUAUCUCUUGAGUGCUGGAGAGGUAGACGGAAUUCCUUGUGUAGCGGUGAAAUGCGUAGAUAUAAGGAAGAACACCAGUGGCGAAGGCGGUCGUCAGGACAGUAACUGACGCUGAGGCGCGAAAGCGUGGGGAGCAAACAGGAUUAGAUACCCUGGUAGUCCACGCUGUAAACGAUGAAUACUAGGUGUGGGGGGACUGACCCCCUCCGAGCCGCAGGUAACACAAUAAGUAUUCCACCUGGGGAGUACGGCCGCAAGUUUGAAACUUAAGGGAAAUGACGGGG
Molecule: ribosomal RNA, 396 nt
Filed under: uncultured bacterium
Lineage: Bacteria
Description: partial 16S ribosomal RNA
Rfam family: Bacterial small subunit ribosomal RNA
Source: RNAcentral